Non-coding RNA from Chiloscyllium plagiosum (whitespotted bambooshark), 709 nucleotides. The record is from RefSeq and is a predicted model, not a curated record. Lineage: Eukaryota; Metazoa; Chordata; Chondrichthyes; Orectolobiformes; Hemiscylliidae.
CUUCUGUUCUUUACCAGGCUUCUCCCAGUCCUUUUUUUUGAAGUAUCUGUCCUGGAGCAGAGGCUGGUGAAGGGAACCCGCCCCGGAGCGGAGACCGGCGAGGGGAACCCGUCCCGGAGCGGAGACCGGUACUUCAAUUUAGAGGACACACCAAGAUGUUAGGACAGUGAGACGAGGCCCUUAAGCUGACCAGGCCUAGGUUAAAUCAAAGAGAGACACGAAGGUAGCAGGAUUUCCAUCUUUUGGCCUCCUAUGCAACAAUAUGUCCUUAUCUCUGGGGAUUUGGCAGUAUUAAAUGCUGCUCUAAGAAUUGCUAUUUGAAAUUGACCUCUAUGAAAUGCACAACAAUUGUUUAAGGACUACCAUGUAAAGCACCACUGAACCUCCACUUCCUUCUGAGCAAAAUGUGGCUAAAAUGAAGUACUUUUAGCCUGAACAUGAUUGCUUCACGACAAAACGCUGGAGCUCAUCUAUGCUACGGAAUGAAUUAAUAAAAAAUAUUUAGUAUGUGCAAUAUGAUUCAAAAAUCAGAGAAAUUUUGAAAGCAGUCUAGGAACUCAGAGCUAAAGCCAUUAUCCAAACUUCGAGUCACGGUUUAAUCCUUCUUCAGGAUUCAAAAGAAAACUGAACAUUAUAUUUGUGUAAGGUAUUUGUUAAAUCUAUUUGGAUUUGGGUAUUAAUGUUUGAACAUUUAACAUAACCUUUACAA